UCUUCAUUUAUCGUGCUCUCUCACCGGUCAGACACGCGAGAUAGUGUGUGACAUGAAGAAA
Molecule: microRNA precursor, 61 nt
Filed under: Pristionchus pacificus
Lineage: Eukaryota; Metazoa; Nematoda; Chromadorea; Rhabditida; Neodiplogasteridae
Description: mir-8364 microRNA precursor family
Rfam family: mir-8364 microRNA precursor family
Source: Rfam by way of RNAcentral